GAGAGUUCUUCUGAAUAUCUGUCAGGAGGCAUUUGAAGGUGCUGACAAAUUGCGGGCAGAGCUCAGGCAGAUGACUGCCCCUGAGCAAGAGUUGGAAAGAAGAGAUAAAGAAAGGUUGGUCAAACUCCGCACUCUCGGGAACAUUCGCCUGAUAGGAGAGCUUUUGAAGCAAAAGAUGGUUCCAGAGAAGAUUGUCCACCACAUUGUUCAGGUCCUUGAUUGAUCUCUCUCUCCUUUUCUCUCUCUCAUCCUAGCAUCUUGAUUUGUCUUUAUUAUUUUUAAGAUGGUCUUACAACAUGGUUUUGCAAGACAGGAACUCAUAGGACCUGAUACGAAGAGUUGUCCAGCUGAGGAGAAUGUUGAAGCCAUAUGCCAGUUCUUUAUCACCAUUGGGAAACAGCUUGAUGAGAACCAAAAAUCUAGGCGUAUCAACGAUAUGUAUUUUGGUCGGUUGAAGGAAGUGUCAGCAAACCCGCAGCUAGCUCUACGACUGAGGUUUAUGAUUCGUGAUGUUCUUGAUUUGCGUUCAAAUAAUUGGGUUCCCAGACGGGAAGAGGUGAUCCCUCUUAACCUAUUUGAUGUCUUUCUAUGAGGUUUUCGUUGCAAACUUUAUGAUGUUGUUUUGUAAUUUUCCAGGUGAGGGCCAAAACUAUCACUGAGAUUCACUCAGAAGCAGAGAAGAAUCUUAGGUUGCGCCCAGGAGUUACUGCUAGCAUUAGAAAUAACAGAAACAUUGCUUCUGGGGCUCAAGGGAGUAUUAGUCCUGGUGGCUUGCCUAUUAGUCGCCCUGGUGCAGGUGGCAUGAUGCCUGGAAUGCCAGGGACGAGGAAGAUGCCUGGUAUGCCUGGACUUGAUAAUGACAGCUGGGAAGUUUCUAGGUCCCGAUCAAUGCCAAGAGGCGAUAGUUCAACAGUUCAGCCUGCUGGGCGUGUCCAACCACCAUUGAUACAAUCACCAUCCCCGAACCAGCGAUUUCUGCCUCAGGGUAGUGGUGGUUUCUCAAGUGAUAGACCUAGUGCCCUCCUACAGGGUAGUGGUGCACCUCUUGUUCGUCCUGCUAAAUAUGGAGAAUAUGCUGUGGGCCCUGGAUUACAAGUCCCUGCCAAUAGUAGACCCGCGCCAACAUCAUCCGCUGCACCAGUAACUGGCAAACCUACAGCUCCAGCUGCAAUAAAGAAUCCAAACGAACUUAGGAGAAAAACAAUUUCGCUUCUGGAUGAAUAUUUUAGCGUCAGAAUUUUGGAUGAAGCAUUACAAUGCAUUGAGGAACUGAAGGCCCCGGCUUAUCAUCCUGAAAUUGUCAAGGAGUCCAUUUCCCUUGGGUUGGAGAAAAGUCCACCUUGUGUAGAGCUGGUUGCUAAGCUUCUAGAGUACUUGUAUACUAAGAAAGUUGUUACUGCUAAUGACUUGGUCACUGGAUGCCUCCUCUAUGCCUCACUGUUGGAUGAUCUUGCAAUUGAUAUACCAAAAGCACCGGCCAAUUUUGGAGAGAUAGUCGGGAAAUUAGUCUUGGUUGGUGGGCUCGACUUCAAGUUGGUGAGGGAGAUUCUGAAAAAGGUGGGUGAUGAAUUUUUCCGGAAAGCCGUAUUCACAUCCAUAAUGAGGAUUGUUAGCUCUAAUCCUCCUGGAAAAGGGGUGAUAGAUUCACAAGCAUCUGAUAUUGAGGCCUGUGAAAGCCUAAUUUAGGGCUUACUCAUUGCAGGAGUCAUCUGUAACCUCACAGGAAAUGUGCCCUCUUUCAAUUACCAUUUCUUCUCAUUAUUCCCAUCCAAGCCGAUGAGUGAUUGUGGUGAAAGUAAUGAGGAUGCGAAGCUGUGAAGAACAGGUGAUAUUAUGUGGACUCUGUAUAAUUUUCUUGAGGUCAUAGUACUGUCAUUGAAGAUAUAACAACAUAAAGAUUUUGGUUUGCGAGUGGCUGAUCACUGGCCAUAGUUUGCUGGAGAGAUGAACCAUGUUGUUCUGUAUUGAUUAGAUUUUAUUUACUUAAUUUGUCGUUUUAUUAAUUGAAGUUUUGACAGAAGUAUAAACUCAUAAUGCUGAGUGUGCACAAUUUUAAAGGAGAAUCCUAUGUUGUGUUAAUUUUUGUUCCAAUCUAUAGUCAUUUUCUUGGGAUUAUGCAUGUUUUGCUGUUUAACCUUCACGAGUUUGGGCGUAGGCGCGUAGCUGCAGUUUGUGAAGAUGGUUUGCAGCUACCGUCGCCAACCUUGGACCUUAAUUGCAAUUUCGUCCCCAAUUUAUUUUAUUUUAUUUGAUUAUUAUUAUUUUUUUGUGUGUCACAAAUCAAAACUUAAACUUUGAAUUAAUUAGCAGGGUUUCUUUGGUUUCUGUCCCCUGUUCUGUCAAGUCAGGCAUGCUUGCGGGCAAAUUUAGUCAUUUUUUGAUCUUCAUUUCUUGAAAUUUAUUUUUAAUCACACAGUAUUUAUAAAUUUUAUCAAUUUUUAAUUACAUAUUUUAUUUAUUUUUAUUAAAAUUUAUUAAAUUUACAAUUUUUAUCAUAACCCAAGAGGGGCUUAAUAAUAAGAGCAAAAGAUCAAAUCGCUUUUUCACCUCCAAGAGCUAAUCUUCAAUGAAAAGUAACGUUGCUUUUGGAAAGAGUCGGACGAUGUAACAUUGAUAUUUAUGGGGAACAGAAGUUUUGGGAGUUGGAAGUGAUCUAUCGUCUUCUUGCUUGACUUGUCCUUCAAACAGUAAAGAUCGAUCGUCUGCUUGCUUGACUUGUCCUCGAAACAUAAGUACAUAUUCCAACUUUUCAAAAUCCAAGCCUGGAUAUUUAAGAAUCAGAGAUACCAAUCGAAAAGUUGCGUAGAGAAGUAAAAAAAGAACAAAGAAAAACCCAUAAAAUUAUAAGGAAGAUGGGAAGCAGAGGGUUGGAUUUGAAGGGGAUACCAUCAGUGGACAUCAUGACUGAACUUCUUCACCGCAUGAAGCGCGCUUCAAAGUCCGACAAUCGCCUUAUGCUCAUUGGUACCGUACGAUACUAAUCGCCACUGUAUACUUGUAUAGUGUAAUAUGUAUGAGUUGCCUUUUCAUUCCUUCUCUUUUUUCUUUUCUCUCUCUCUCUUCCACACCAUCAAUAUGUACACAAUCAUAUAGAAAUAGCAUUACUAAUGCGUAUAUACUUCUCCUGUCAGACUUAUGUUUUGAUUAAAUUUUUAUGGGUUUUUCUCCCGCCAUUUUUGUGUAAAGUUGCGAACUUUCACCAAGAGUAUUGAUAUAUCAAGAAUUUGAAUUAUUAGACAUUGUCAAUUAAAGUACAUUAGUUGGGUAUGGUUUUGAAGUGUAGAAAUGUCACAAAUUUGAACUUGCAAAUUAUGGUCCCUUUGUCAUUGCUAAUUUUAUUCAUUUACUACGAAUUUUUAAACCCUUGUUCUAAUGAUUCGUUAACAGGUUCUACGAUCACCAAUGGCUGAAAGUACGCUGAUUAUUAUUUUGUAAUAUUAGAAAGUCUCAUUGCACUUUGUUUUAGUAUGUAUAUGUUUACUUAUUCAUCGUGCUGGAGAACAUGGCAAUAAAACUAGAUUUGGUGGUGUUUAAGAAAAUGGGACUAAUUGCGUCGGUAGUUGUAUGAAUAAAAAAUUUGAUUUGUGACAGGGCCAUCGGGUUCGGGAAGAGGUACUCAAUCCCCCAUCAACGAUGAGUACUGUCUGUGCCAUUUGGCCACUGAUGAUAUGUUGAGAGCUGCUUUUGCAGCUAAUACUCUGGUAGCCAAAAAGGAUGAAGAAGCUAUAGUUAAGGUAGAAAUCUACUCCCUUGAUAUUAACACUGGAUGAAACUGUUAAGAUAUGUCCCCUUCAGAUUUUGCUGUUUUGAUUGAUUAUUUUGUAAAUGAUAAUUUUUCUUCUUUAGGGGAAACUUGUUCUUGAUGAGGAAGUUGCUGGUUUAAUUGAUGAAGACUUGAAGAAACCUUCUUGUCAGAAGGGAUUCAUUCUUGAUGGUUUCCUGAAGACAGUGAUUCAGGCGGAAAAGGUUAUACACCAGUUGACGUGCUGUGUGAAUAUGUACUUGAUAAAUAAUUUCGCCAGGUUUAUAUUUCCUCAUCAUUUUAAUUCUUGCAGCUUGACGAUAUGCUGCAGAGUCAGGGAACUGACAUCGAUAAUGUGAUCAGCUUUGCAACUGAUGAUGACAUGUCGAAGAAGAUGAUUACUGGUGUUGAUUAUGUAAGUUAACCUGGUGCUAUUAUGCCAGAUUCUAUUACAAAUGUUAACAAUAGUGAGCUGCUUCUUCUGUCCAUGAAACAGGGAGGGCCUACUCCCUCUUUAAUCAAGGAAGAGGUGCUCCAUUCUGCUUGGAGGGGGACUCUUCCUGAGAAGGAGCGUGUCCUAAGAACAGUGAAACGGUAAUUUUCCCAGUGUCGGUCUUCAUUUAAUGUGUGUUGUUCGGUAACUCAAACAUAUUUAAAUAUGCAAUAUGUUAUUCUCGAAACCACAGACAUGGACACACAGGGAUACUGAUUUAUAAUUUUUAAAAUUAUACAUUUAUACAAUUUCUUUUCUUAUAAAUAUUUUUCUGAAAAGAUAAAUACUUUUUUAGUUUAGGGUUUUGCCCAUUUUAGAUCUAUUGAAUCAGAGGAGUGAUUUAAGAUAUCUUUGGGUUAAAUUAUAAAUUACUACAGAAAGAGCAAGAAAAUGCAUACAGUAGAAAUAAAACAAAUACAUCAUGUUUUUCUCACAUUAUUGUCAUUUUUUCUCACUAACUUUUGAUAAUUAAAUGUUUUAACUAAUUUUAUGUUCCAAAAUUUACAGCAUGUGGCUUUUUAUGCCUUGACGUGUAGAGACAGUUGUCCUUGUGACAUGCCACAUAUGUGUUGGAAAUGUUUCUGAGGCGAGUUCAAGAAGUGUCCCUCGAGUAUUGGAAAUUUAAAGUAUAUAAAAAUUACGGCAGUGUCGACGUUGGAUUCUUGAAUUAACAACCUUAGCAGGAGAUUCUCUGCUUUGUAGCUGCUAUUAUUGCAAUUGAGUUCCACCACCAUCCCUUUUUUGUAUUACUUGUAUCCAAAUUCUUUUUGAUGUCUGUAAGUUCAUGAUCCGCCUCAAUCACUAUAUGUUGGUGACAAUCUAGCUUCUGCACACAAUGAAGAUAAUAAUUUCCUAUCCGGAUGUCCUAGCUAGGAUCCGAUGGUGGAGAUGCUGUUGAUGGUUGUUGGUUUUAUAUCUAUUUCUAGUUUUAGGAUUAUUUACUGACAUACUUCCUAUGCUAACGAAUGAUUCUGUCCAAUACAUUCUUGUUGCAGCAUACUGAACAAGAAGACUCCUGAGAAAUUUGAUCUUCUCAAGAGUCGACUUGUCGAAUCUGGGAUCACAAACUCGUGUCUUUAUGCUGGGAUUUUGAUUCUUCUUUAUGUCUUCAUAUACUCGUAGCCUAAUUAUGCUUGUACUUCUGCUGUUUUAUUUGUCGUGCAGGGAGUUGUCUCUUUGAUAUCUGACAAGGCUGUGCUGGAGCCAACAUUUUGUCCGAUGUAUGCACAACUAUGUUCUGAUCUGAAUGAGAUGCUUCCUCCCUUCCCAUCUGAUUAGCCUGGUGGAAAAGAAAUCACAUUUAAGAGAGUUCUUCUGAAUAUCUGUCAGGAGGCAUUUGAAGAUGCUGACAAAUUGCGGGCAGAGCUCAGGCAGAUGACUGCCCCUGAGCAAGAGUUGGAAAGAAGAGAUAAAGAAAGGUUGUUCAAACUCCGUACUCUCGGGAACAUUCACCUGAUAGGAGAGCUUUUGAAGCAAAAGAUGGUUCCGGAGAAGAUUGUCCACCACAUUGUUCAGGUCCUUGAUUGAUCUUUCUCUCCUUUUCUCUCUCUCAUCCUAGCAUCUUGAUUUGUCUUUAUUAUUUUUAAGAUGGUCUUACAGCAUGGUUUUACAAGAC
RNAcentral lists this long non-coding RNA (5850 nucleotides) under Olea europaea (common olive). Its description in RNAcentral is "long non-coding RNA (OEUR_LNC000883)". Lineage: Eukaryota; Viridiplantae; Streptophyta; Magnoliopsida; Lamiales; Oleaceae. The record is from RNAcentral.